This 305-nucleotide ribosomal RNA is filed under the name uncultured bacterium. RNAcentral's name for it is "partial 16S ribosomal RNA". It matches the Rfam family "Bacterial small subunit ribosomal RNA", at positions 508 to 807 of the family's 1533-position model. The record is from RNAcentral.
ACAGCAGUAGCCGCGGUAAUACGAAGGGUGCAAGCGUUAAUCGGAAUUACUGGGCGUAAAGCGUGCGUAGGCGGUGAGUUAAGUCUGCUGUGAAAUCCCCGGGCUCAACCUGGGAAUGGCAGUGGAUACUGGCUCGCUAGAGUGUGUCAGAGGAUGGUGGAAUUCCCGGUGUAGCGGUGAAAUGCGUAGAGAUCUGGAGGAAUACCGAUGGCGAAGGCAGCCAUCUGGCCUAAUACUGACGCUGAGGUACGAAAGCAUGGGGAGCAAACAGGAUUAGAUACCCCCGUAGUCCCUGUCUCUUAUAC